This 497-nucleotide ribosomal RNA is filed under the name uncultured bacterium. RNAcentral describes it as "partial 16S ribosomal RNA". It matches the Rfam family "Bacterial small subunit ribosomal RNA", at positions 28 to 507 of the family's 1533-position model. The record is from RNAcentral.
GAUGAACGCUGGCGGCGUGCCUAAUACGUGCAAGUCGAGCGAACAGACGAGGAGCUUGCUCCUCUGACGUUAGCGGCGGACGGGUGAGUAACACGUGGAUAACCUACCUAUAAGACUGGGAUAACUUCGGGAAACCGGAGCUAAUACCGGAUAAUAUAUUGAACCGCAUGGUUCAAUAGUGAAAGACGGUUUUGCUGUCACUUAUAGAUGGAUCCGCGCCGCAUUAGCUAGUUGGUAAGGUAACGGCUUACCAAGGCGACGAUGCGUAGCCGACCUGAGAGGGUGAUCGGCCACACUGGAACUGAGACACGGUCCAGACUCCUACGGGAGGCAGCAGUAGGUAAUCUUCCGCAAUGGGCGAAAGCCUGACGGAGCAACGCCGCGUGAGUGAUGAAGGUCUUCGGAUCGUAAAACUCUGUUAUUAGGGAAGAACAAAUGUGUAAGUAACUAUGCACGUCUUGACGGUACCUAAUCAGAAAGCCACGGCUAACUACGUG